Molecule: long non-coding RNA, 302 nt
Filed under: Ananas comosus (pineapple)
Lineage: Eukaryota; Viridiplantae; Streptophyta; Magnoliopsida; Poales; Bromeliaceae
Description: long non-coding RNA (ACOM_LNC019762)
Source: RNAcentral
UGUUUUUGCAGGAAUAAUUCAAGACUUCAAGACUCCAUGUCUAAGUCAUAGAGUUUGUAUUAAGGUUGUAAAAGUGUAAAUUUCGUUUAUUGGAUUGAUCAUGCAGGAGAUUAUCGUUUGGUGAUUGCGAUGAUCUUCUUUUUAUUAUUUAUUAGUUGUGUACGAACUUUGUAAUAUAUUUUGUCACGAAAUCGCCAAAGGGGGAGAUUGUUAAGGAUUUUAUAGGUUGGCGGAUUUCGUAAUGUUGAAUGGAGUCUUGAAGAGUUGAUUGCAGAAGAUUGAAGAAAAGAUCUAAAUUGAAG